Molecule: ribosomal RNA, 500 nt
Filed under: uncultured bacterium
Lineage: Bacteria
Description: partial 16S ribosomal RNA
Rfam family: Bacterial small subunit ribosomal RNA
Source: RNAcentral
AUUGAACGCUGGCGGCAUGCUUUACACAUGCAAGUCGAACGGUAACAGGGUGCUUGCACCGCUGACGAGUGGCGAACGGGUGAGUAAUGCGUCGGAACGUGCCGAGUAGUGGGGGAUAACGCAGCGAAAGUUGUGCUAAUACCGCAUACGUGCUGCGGUAGAAAGUGGGGGACCUUCGGGCCUCACGCUAUUCGAGCGGCCGACGUCUGAUUAGCUAGUAGGUGAGGUAAAGGCUCACCUAGGCGACGAUCAGUAGCGGGUCUGAGAGGAUGAUCCGCCACACUGGGACUGAGACACGGCCCAGACUCCUACGGGAGGCAGCAGUGGGGAAUUUUGGACAAUGGGCGAAAGCCUGAUCCAGCCAUGCCGCGUGUCUGAAGAAGGCCUUCGGGUUGUAAAGGACUUUUGUCAGGGAGGAAAUCCCUAGUGCUAAUAACACUGGGGGAUGACAGUACCUGAAGAAUAAGCACCGGCUAACUACGUGCCAGCCGCCGCAGUAA